Molecule: ribosomal RNA, 225 nt
Filed under: uncultured Fastidiosipila sp.
Lineage: Bacteria; Bacillati; Bacillota; Clostridia; Eubacteriales; Oscillospiraceae
Description: partial 16S ribosomal RNA
Rfam family: Bacterial small subunit ribosomal RNA
Source: RNAcentral
CGUGUAGGCGGUAUACUAAGUCAGAUGUGAAAUCUCCCGGCUCAACCGGGAGCGUGCAUCUGAAACUGGUAAACUUGAGUGAUAGAGGGGAAAGUGGAAUUCCUAGUGUAGUGGUAAAAUACGUAGAUAUUAGGAGGAACACCAGUGGCGAAGGCGACUUUCUGGCUAUUAACUGACGCUGAGGCGCGAAAGCGUGGGGAGCAAACAGGAUUAGAUACCCCCGUA